AUUUAUUAUUUUUAACAAUACAAAAUAUUUAUACAUAUAUUAUACAUUAUUACACACAAAAACCCUGCCUUACUUUAUUUUCACUAGGAGUAGUUUUAAUUCUAUUCAUCUUAAUUUUUAUUUUAUAAUUUAAAUCUAUAUUAACAUCUGACAUCAUUUCUUUCUCCAACCAGAAAUUUGAUACGUACAAUGAAUCCAGGUUAUCGUACUGCAAUAUGUAACGAACUUUGUUUCUGUGACGUAUUCGUUUUAUUCCAAUUAUGACUAAUUCCGAUUUGUCCGGUAUUUCUUCCAAACGCCGACACUGUAUAACCUUAACAUGGCCAUUUAUUUCUUCGAUUUGUUGUUUAUCGUUUUAAUUAAAAGGUAAAUCAUCCGUAUCAUAAAGAAGAAGGAUACGUUUUAAUUCCGUUUAACGAAAUGCUAUUAAUAGUCCUCCCGACAGAAGAAACUAUUAUAACAUUUAAUACUAAUGGAGACAAAAUUAUAAAAACAUCUCUUUCAUGAAAUUCAGUAUUAAGAUUCCAUGGGAUGUAAAGAAUAAAUAUUUAAAAAAAAAAAAAAAAUUAAAAACCUACAUUCAACACGGGGACUUAUUUCCAAGUUAAUUUUGUUAUUCAGACCAUGACUUUGGUGGCAAGUGGUGUUUCAUUCCGAGGACAGAAACACGCGAGAUAAUAAACGGAAUGUUUUAAAUAGCUGUACUUGGAGUGCAAAUUAGCUCUCUUUUACACUAGGCUUUAUACCAGCCUAUCUCUCUUGAUAUGGUUGGACCGACUAUGCCUCUCAGUCCUCGGUUGAAUGUUUCAUUUAAAUGUAUAUGUCUAUGACUGUAUCUAUCUCUAUAUUUUAAAUUUGUAAUAUUUGAAUACCGAAUACUACUAUAUUUAAUCGUAAUGUUACUUUAGCCUUUGGUUUCAGAUGAAGCGAAUGAAAGAAAUUAAUCGAAAAUAAAUAUAACACAUUUAUUCUGCUAAAGAUUAACUACUCCCUUUCUACCAAUUUGUUUUCAUUCAAUUCUGACACGGCCAAUACCAAAAAUAUAUAGGGGUUAAAUAAUAAUAAUACAAAUUGGCGCGGGACAGCUAAUAUAAUCUGGGGUUUCGAGUUAUUUGACAUGAACUAAUAGUGGUAUUUACACAAUAAAUUGUAAUAUUUCACAUUUAAACUUUUUGAAAUACUAUUGUGUAUAAGUGUUCUAAAUGUUUUAAAUAUGUUUCAUUGUCAAAAUUUGACUUUAAAA
Cinara cedri is the source of this 1243-nucleotide non-coding RNA. NCBI's taxonomy places the organism in Eukaryota, Metazoa, Arthropoda, Insecta, Hemiptera, Aphididae. The record is from the annotation of a GenBank genome assembly.